This 110-nucleotide small RNA is filed under the name Christensenella hongkongensis. RNAcentral describes it as "Catabacter hongkongensis STnc490 Hfq binding RNA". It matches the Rfam family "STnc490 Hfq binding RNA". Lineage: Bacteria; Bacillati; Bacillota; Clostridia; Christensenellales; Christensenellaceae. The record is from Rfam by way of RNAcentral.
AACCCCACGCUAAGCGUGGGGUUCCGUAAAGCUUAAAGCUAUGAGAGAGAAAACCUCCGUUUGCUAAAAUAAAUUUGCGGACUGACAAACUGCAAAAAAGAAGCAAAGGG